CAAUAGCGUAUAUUAAAGUUGUUGCAGUUAAAAAGCUCGUAGUUGGACCUUGGACCUGGACAGGCGGUCCGCCUCACGGCGUGUACUGUCUUGCUGGGUCUUUCCUCUUGGUGAUCUGUUGUUUCGGCAGCAGGGAACCAGGACUUUUACUUUGAAAAAAUUAGAGUGUUCAAAGCAGGCUCGACGCCGGAACAUAUUAGCAUGGAAUAAUAAAAUAGGACGUGCGGUUCUAUUUUGUUGGUUUUUGGAAUCGCCGUAAUGAUUAAUAGGGACAGUCGGGGGCAUUAGUACUCACAUGCUAGAGGUGAAAUUCUUGGAUUUUGUGAAGACUAACUUCUGCGAAAGCAUUUGCCAAGGAUGUUUUCAUUAA
RNAcentral lists this ribosomal RNA (370 nucleotides) under uncultured eukaryote. Its description in RNAcentral is "partial 18S ribosomal RNA". It matches the Rfam family "Eukaryotic small subunit ribosomal RNA", at positions 592 to 976 of the family's 1831-position model. The record is from RNAcentral.